RNAcentral lists this long non-coding RNA (1447 nucleotides) under Medicago truncatula (barrel medic). Its description in RNAcentral is "long non-coding RNA (MTRU_LNC000879)". Lineage: Eukaryota; Viridiplantae; Streptophyta; Magnoliopsida; Fabales; Fabaceae. The record is from RNAcentral.
UCUGCAUUUUUACUCCGUUCACAAUUAAUCCUUGACGUUAAAUUUUGUUGCCGGGACAAACAGAAGUUGCCACAUAGACAACACUAGGAUGCCACGUGGCCUAAUCAAUGACAUGGGAUGCCACAUGUCAAAUAUUAUUUGAAUUAAAUUUUUAACUUUUUUAUUUAUUAAAUAAAACAAUAAAAAAUAAUCAAAAAAACAUGUAGUCUUCAUGUUCCUUCUCCUUCCUUCGCCUUCCUUCCUUCAAAAUCUGCAGAAAGAAAACCAUGAAAAUGCCUAAUUCCCCUUUACCCCCUUCCUUUCCAUUAAGUUCAAUCACAAUUUUUUUCCUUUGUUGUUGCUAUUUCAUAAACCCAUAAAAAUCACAAUGCAUGUUGCCUCUCACUUUUCCUCCUUCAACUUCCAAUUUCAAUUCAAUUUGCAAGAAAUCAAGAUAUUAAAAUCAAAAUCAAAAUUAAAUCUUCUUCGUUCCAUAUUUACUGGAAAAUCCAAUAUGCGAACCAAUCAAACGAGAAUAGAGGAACGAAAAUUGAAAGUGCUCUGAACAAAGUUUGCGGCGAAAGGGAUGGUGGCAAUUACAGAACGACGGUGACGCGCCGGACAAAAGGGUUGUUGGAGGGAGAUGGUUUGUGAUACGGGCAAUGAAACGAAUCUGAGAUGCUCUAAGGAGAGUUGGUGGCCAACAGUGGUGGUGGUUGGAGGAUGGUGAUGCACGGCGGAAAACAUAGUCAUUACCAAUCAGAGGCUGACAUGUGGCACAUAGUCAUUAAAAUAAAAUAAAAAAUAAAAAGCCAUUUUAAGUGAAAAAGAACCAAACGAGGUAUAAGCUUUCUCCUUCUUUCUCCCUUGCCUCUUCAACCCAAAAGCCGCCACCACCACCACCACUGGUUUUCUUCGUUGUCUGCUGCAAUAACCUUCAACCACCACCCCCCGCCUUGCCGUCGAACAUCAAUCUGUCACAGGGCGUCGGAGAUUCACAUCCAUCCUUCUCAAUCUCAUAUUCAAUGGAAUCCUUGUUGUUGAAUAAGAAUGUUUGCUUGUUAAGAUAAUUUUUGAAAGAAAAGAGGAGGUAAGGAAAGUUGCUUGAAAACCAUAGAUCAUAAUAAUUGGCCAGUGAGGAUUCAAAUAAUUAAAAUGAGAAACACAUUCAUUCUGUGGCUGGUUAGGAGGUGCAGAUGCUGUCAUGACAGUUUGGCUGCCCUUGCUGUGUUUAGCUCGGCUGCUGUCAUGACAGCACAUGUUUUGUUGGCCGAAGGUGCUGGUUUUGGGGCUUAUGUUUACUAAUUUCUGCCUCAUUGAAAAAUAUGAACAAGAUGAUCAAUUUAAUUUCAAGCUUAAGAUCACUAAGUAUUCAUAUGUUGUUUAGUGUUUACUUCAAUGCUUCUGCACACACUCAAAAGAGACAAAUAUCUUCAAUUUUGCUAGCCAUAUCAGUUUUAUAUGGAAU